Long non-coding RNA from Cyprinus carpio (common carp), 744 nucleotides. The record is from Ensembl. NCBI's taxonomy places the organism in Eukaryota, Metazoa, Chordata, Actinopteri, Cypriniformes, Cyprinidae.
CUCCUCCUCCCUGUCCUUCAACUCUAACAGCUGAUGACUUUGCCACAUUCUUCAUUAAUAAAAUUACAACCAUCAGUGCACAAUUCUCCACAACACACACUGUUAAACACAUCUUACCAGAAAACAUAAACUCGCUCACAUCCUUCUCUCCACUCUCUGAGGCCAAAGUCUCCAAACUCAUCCUUUCCAAGCAUCCUACUACUUGUCCACUUGAUCCUGUUUCAUCUCAUCUCCUUCAAGCAAUUUCUUCCUCAGUUGUACCUGCACUCACGCACACAUCCUUAACACAUCCCUUCACACUGGUGUCUCUCCCCCAGCAUUUAAACAGGCUUGGAUAACCCCAGUACUUAUGAAACCAGCACUUUUAGAAAACUACAGACUAGUAUCCCUUCUUCCAUUCACUGCAAAAACACUUGAAUGAGUUGUAUUCAACUAAGUCUCUGCCUUUCUCACACAGAACAAAGUCUGGCUUCAGAAGUGGACAUUCAACCAGGAUUGCCUUGCUCUCGGUUGUUGAAGCCCCAAGACUCAUUGCGCCUCAUGCAGGUCUUCCCUGACGACAGCCACUCAGAGUGUGUUUCCUGUCUGGAGAUUUUCCCAUUUUAUUCCUUCCUGGAGCCUGUGAGGAAAAAACAGCAGGCCAGAGGGACUCAGCACGAUGGUCGACCCCAUCCCUUUGCCAUCUAUGGAUCCCAGCGAUGCCAAAACAGAGAUGGUCACCAAGCUUUUCUGUGUCCUCUCUAA